UGCCCUCGGUGGCUCAGAUGGGUAGAGUGUCUGCCAUGUAAGCAGAAGAUCCCGGGUUCGAGUCCCGGUCGGGCAC
Molecule: transfer RNA, 76 nt
Filed under: Schistocerca americana (American grasshopper)
Lineage: Eukaryota; Metazoa; Arthropoda; Insecta; Orthoptera; Acrididae
Description: tRNA-Thr
Rfam family: tRNA
About the family: Transfer RNA (tRNA) molecules are approximately 80 nucleotides in length. Their secondary structure includes four short double-helical elements and three loops (D, anti-codon, and T loops).
Source: RNAcentral